RNAcentral lists this long non-coding RNA (469 nucleotides) under Helianthus annuus (common sunflower). RNAcentral's name for it is "sRNA HanXRQr2_Chr06g0265961". The record is from RNAcentral. Lineage: Eukaryota; Viridiplantae; Streptophyta; Magnoliopsida; Asterales; Asteraceae.
UUUUGCGUGGCCCAAGGUACUAGAUAAGUCAAUCAAUUAAGGGCCCAAUACGUAAAUUAGGUCAUGCAAAGAUGACCCUAGCCGCCACCAAAAUUAGCAGCCUUCAUACCACUCUACACAGCCAUAAACCCUAGCCGCCAACUUACCCACACCCACCUGAGAUACAUCGGACCUGAAAAUAUUACCAAGGAGCCGACAUCCAUAGCAGAUCGGAAGGCAUCCUUAAGUCGACAAACAUCCAAAGUCAGCCACCUCCACCUUCUGCCACCGCCCAAACCGCCGUCAACCACCGUCAAUCCAACCUUUAACCACCGUGCCUUUCCAGCACCAUCAUCAUCCACCAUGCGUGUCACCGGAGAACCACACAAUGCCGGAAGCCAAACCCGAUUCAAGCCGUCGAGUAUACAAUUCCGGACCAUAGGUACUUAGCUGGAGCUUGCAUGGAGAAGAGUCGUUGUGGGACAUGGAU